ACAGAGGGGGCAAGCGUUGUUCGGAAUUAUUGGGCGUAAAGCGCGCGUAGGCGGCGAGGCAAGUCGAGGGUGAAAUCCCUCGGCUCAACUGAGGAACUGCCCUCGAAACUGCUGUGCUUGAGUCCCGGAGAGGUGAGUGGAAUUCCCAAUGUAGAGGUGAAAUGCGUAGAUAUUGGGAGGAACACCAGUGGCGAAGGCGGCUUUCUGGUCGGUAUCUGACGCUGAGGAGCGAAAGCGUGGGGAGCAAACAGGA
Molecule: ribosomal RNA, 253 nt
Filed under: uncultured prokaryote
Description: partial 16S ribosomal RNA
Rfam family: Bacterial small subunit ribosomal RNA
Source: RNAcentral